GUGGAGUCAAAUUCAUUUUAAACAGUGCUGUCUUUUCCUAUGUUCGAAAGGGAGCACCUUUUCAUCUCUCCUUGACCCGAUGACGUUUUCCACAAAGGUUAAGUAAAGGAGGCAUAAAGAUUAGGAGAUUUGACUAUUCGUAGAGUCCCUGGUGUUCUAUAUCUAUGUUCGUGAAGAUUUCCGUCAACGAGUGCUGACUUUAACGUCAUUGUUCUCAGCCACUCCCUCUGGUCGCUGUUUGGACGCACAGAAUUUGGACGGAAAAACCCGCGAACAUACCGCAAACCCAGCCGUAGCACUGAAGGGAAAUGAAAAUUGAGCGGAAGUACUUAGGCGGGCGGAGCCAGGCUACCAGCUUACUACAAGACACUGUAAAGCAGCCUUGAGUAUGAGAAAGGCGCUCUAUAUAAUAAACAUUAUUAUUACUAAUUUAGCCAGAUCCUCCACCGCUGUAAGUUAACCACACGCUCGUCUCUGACAGAAGAAGUUCUUCUUCUCCGUGCAAUUUCUGGGUUGCACGUCCAGGGAGCUCCCAGACAUGGCGCCACAGAAGUUGUUCUGGUCUGGACAGGCGGGCAGUUCAUGGCGGAUCGCCUUAUCCCCGUCCCCCACCCAGAACCACCUGCUACUCAGAUUUCAAGCCUGCUGGUUUCCACUUUGCACAAUGCUUAUCCUCCUUUGGUUCGUCGUCUGUACACCAAAACAAGGCUUAAUUAAGGCAAGCGAAGGACACCAAGUGGCUCCCCUCCGGCCCACGUCCAAACGCCAUCAGUUCGUCGGAGACCAACCCAGCCCUCGCCACUAUGACUGGGCUCAUGUCCAUCCCUGACGGUCAGAAGACACCAGGUGCAUCAAAGGAGUGAGAAGGACCAGGAUGAAGACACGGCGCAGGUAUGAAUCCAUGUCUGCAACGGACAGAAAGAACAGGUGUACCACCUGACUUACACGCAGUAAUGUGUACACGUACGUACACAUGUUGGACAUGUGCAGAUACAUUGAUAUCGCUAUCGGAUACGACUGGCCCAAGACUACACCCAUAUAAGGCUAUUGUAGACGCCCACUCUUAAAGCUCUGUUUGAAUAUUUCACCAAUGCAUGAGCACUUACAAACUUACUUAUAUCUGAUUAUUUUAACAAUGCUAGACAUCUCAUGGAGAAAUGUUGCAUCAUCCCGUCUCUUAUACUGACCCCUAAGUCUUUCGUGAUAAGUUAUUCAGUUUGAUCAGCUGUGUAUAGUCCUAGUACUCAACAAGCAGUACUCCUUGGAAGGAGGCAGUAUGACUAUGAAUACAUUAGUACUAAAGCAGUAAGCAGUAUUGCUACAUUAGUAGUAUACUCAGUACUCAUCCAUGGCGAAGCAUGAAGUAUUAAUACAUAAGUACUAGUGCUGUCAAGCGAUUAAAAUAUUUAAUGUGAUUAAUCAAAUUAAUGUCAUAGUUAACUCACGAUUAAUCGCGAUAAUCGCAAAUCUUUUCUCUACGCUAAAUAUCCCUUGAUUUCUUUGUCCCAUUAAUUGUUCUCAUUUUAAUGCACUUAUCAACAUGGAGAAGUGCAUCGGCUUGCCUUAUGCAAAUGUUAUUUAUUGAUAACAACAUUGGCAUAUACUGAUCAAAACAGGACGAUACAAAAAAAAUGCCUAUAGUGCAAUUAAACGAUGAACAGACAAACAUACUGCCUUGAACAUAGCAGUCAGGCUACUGCUUCUUUGUUUUGAGCCAAAGAAAAAAAAAGUUUAUUUUUAUUUUUAAUAAGAAGUAGCGUUCGCAAGCUAAAAAAAGUAACGCAGUUAAAAUUGGUUUGCGUUAACGCCGUUAAUAACGCGUUUAACUGACAGCACUAAUAAGUACUAAAGCAGUUCUCCCCGAGGAUGAAGGAAGCAGUAUAACUACAUUAGUACUAAAGCAAUACUCACCCAUGGUGAGGAAACAUUAUUAGUACAUUAGUGCCCAGGAUGGAGAAAGCAGUGUUAGUUCAUUCAUACUAAAGCAGUAUUACUACAUAAGUACUAAAGCAGUACUCACCAAGGUUGUUCUCUGGUACAUCUGAGGUCUAAUGCUUGUGUUCCCCACAGCAGAUUAGAUUUAAGAUGUUUUCCACACACCCAUUAGUGCACCAACUGACACCACUCCCGUCCAGCGGACCAAUGAGAACACAGAUAGGUGAAAAACACCUCGUAAGAAAUGACACCACCUGAGCAAGCAUGUAAAUACGAGGUGGAUGGUCGUCUGAUCAACAUCCUUCUCACCGGGCUCACCAAGAUUUGAAUGGUUAAUUUAUUUUUUACAUCAAAUCUUUUCCGACAAUCUUCUAUUACAGUAUCCUUGGUCCUCAAACGCAAUGGGUUGGUCAUAGUCCCAGGUGAAUUAUUUUUUAUAUUUAAAGCAUCAUUUUUUUUUAAGUACCGGUACUUAAUUCUGAAAAGUAUGUCCAAUUGACAACUUUAAGUGUACUAACUACACAAGGCCAAGUGGGUGAGAAUUGAGUGGUGUCGAGUUGAACGGAAUUGACAGAACAGGAAUAUAACAUUCAUAGUUCUUAGUGUAUAAUCCCAUGAAAAAAAUAAUUGCUGGAUCUCGUUGCCUUAGUUUUAGCCGCAUCUACAUGGGGCUAAAACUGCCAAAGAGGCUGCCAUGUUGCAACCUCAGAGUUUUAAGAAGGGUGUGGGUUUAGGCUACACAAAUAGACUACAACCUAUUUGUGUAUUUUGUUUUUUCUUGAGCCGUAGUGGAGGAGGGUUGUGAAAGUUUUAAUGAGAUCAUUUGAUGUGAAAAUGGGCCCACACGACGAGAGGUUAUACUACCCAUCCGACAAGCUAAUCCCUCUCGGACGUGGACAUCCAAAUCAACCUUCUUGGCAGGAGCUCAAAACAUUUCACACCCAAACACACACCCACUUACACACACAUGCCCACACACAUGUACACACACACACACGCACACACACAAAGGCGUUGCAAUAUAAAUGUCAGAGAAGCUUAAAGGCUGUGUUGCAGGGUUUAUUUUCCAACAAAUUUUUGCAAUUUGCUGUUAGUAAUAAAGAUUUUAACUGUUAUUUAUCGUAUUUAAUGUUGUUGGGUAUCACAAAACGGAAUAUAAUACGAAAAGGUAGCUUCUGUUUUAGCGGUUGGCUAUUGAUUCUCAUUUCCCCCAGAAUGCAUUG
Long non-coding RNA from Gadus chalcogrammus (walleye pollock), 3158 nucleotides. RefSeq lists it as uncharacterized. NCBI's taxonomy places the organism in Eukaryota, Metazoa, Chordata, Actinopteri, Gadiformes, Gadidae. The record is from RefSeq and is a predicted model, not a curated record. The transcript has 4 exons.